CAGCCGCCGCGGUAAAACGAAGGGGGCUAGCGUUGCUCGGAAUGACUGGGCGUAAAGGGCGCGUAGGCGGUUCGUACAGUUGGAUGUGAAAUUCCUGGGCUUAACCUGGGGGCUGCAUUCAAUACGUGCGGGCUUGAGUGUGGAAGAGGGUUGUGGAAUUCCCAGUGUAGAGGUGAAAUUCGUAGAUGUUGGGAAGAACACCGGUGGCGAAGGCGGCAACCUGGUCCAUAACUGACGCUGAGGCGCGAAAGCGUGGGGAGCAAACAGGAUUAGAGACCCCAGUAGUCCCUGUCUCUUAUAC
Molecule: ribosomal RNA, 301 nt
Filed under: uncultured bacterium
Lineage: Bacteria
Description: partial 16S ribosomal RNA
Rfam family: Bacterial small subunit ribosomal RNA
Source: RNAcentral